RNAcentral lists this transfer RNA (71 nucleotides) under Tychonema bourrellyi FEM_GT703. It matches the Rfam family "tRNA". From Rfam's summary of the family: Transfer RNA (tRNA) molecules are approximately 80 nucleotides in length. RNAcentral also lists the same sequence under 1 other name. Lineage: Bacteria; Bacillati; Cyanobacteriota; Cyanophyceae; Oscillatoriales; Microcoleaceae. The record is from Rfam by way of RNAcentral.
GGCGGCAUAGCCAAGUGGUAAGGUAGAGGUCUGCAAAACCCCAAUCCCCAGUUCGAACCUGGGUGCCGCCU